CGAACGCUGGCGGCGUGCCUAAUACAUGCAAGUCGAGCGGAGUUGAUGAGGUGCUUGCACCUCUGAUGCUUAGCGGCGGACGGGUGAGUAACACGUAGGUAACCUGCCUGUAAGACUGGGAUAACCCACGGAAACGUGAGCUAAUACCGGAUAGGCGAAACUCUCGCAUGGGGGUAAUCGAGAAAGGCGGAGCAAUCUGCCACUUACAGAUGGACCUGCGGCGCAUUAGCUAGUUGGUAGGGUAACGGCCUACCAAGGCGACGAUGCGUAGCCGACCUGAGAGGGUGAUCGGCCACACUGGGACUGAGACACGGCCCAGACUCCUACGGGAGGCAGCAGUAGGGAAUCUUCCGCAAUGGGCGAAAGCCUGACGGAGCAACGCCGCGUGAGUGAUGAAGGCCUUCGGGUCGUAAAGCUCUGUUGCCAAGGAAGAACAGCCGAGAGAGUAACUGCUCUCGGAAUGACGGUACUUGAGAAGAAAGCCCCGGCUAACUAC
RNAcentral lists this ribosomal RNA (496 nucleotides) under Paenibacillus sp. 'ARUP UnID 506'. Its description in RNAcentral is "bacterial SSU rRNA". It matches the Rfam family "Bacterial small subunit ribosomal RNA", at positions 30 to 504 of the family's 1533-position model. The record is from RNAcentral. Lineage: Bacteria; Bacillati; Bacillota; Bacilli; Caryophanales; Paenibacillaceae.